AUUUCAAGUUUUUUUUAUAUUUAAAAUAACAUAUGGCGAUAAUUCGAUCGAGUCUCGGUUUUCUUCCGCAGUUCAUCAGGUGGUUACAGCUGUGAUCUUUUAUUCGAUUUGCAAACAUUGAAUAUUUUUCCUUAGAAGAGACUAACAUUUGUAACCUAAAGGCAUAUAACUUAUACAGAACAAAAUUAUUGUCAUCUAUCAAAGGAAACGAAAUACAAUACAGCUAGCUCUGAACAGUGAUGAGGAUCUAGAUGUGUCAGACCGCGCAC
This 269-nucleotide long non-coding RNA is filed under the name Mytilus galloprovincialis (Mediterranean mussel). The record is from RNAcentral. Lineage: Eukaryota; Metazoa; Mollusca; Bivalvia; Mytilida; Mytilidae.